RNAcentral lists this transfer RNA (90 nucleotides) under Streptomyces sp. RB17. RNAcentral describes it as "tRNA-Pro". The record is from RNAcentral. Lineage: Bacteria; Bacillati; Actinomycetota; Actinomycetes; Kitasatosporales; Streptomycetaceae.
CUCGUGACCAGUGCGGCCGAGCGCGGUGGGGGUUCGGGGUGCCUGGAGCCGGCGCCGGCCGGCGCCGCCGGUCACGCCGGCGUCCCGAGA